RNAcentral lists this long non-coding RNA (3749 nucleotides) under Triticum aestivum (bread wheat). RNAcentral describes it as "long non-coding RNA (TAES_LNC021628)". The record is from RNAcentral. Lineage: Eukaryota; Viridiplantae; Streptophyta; Magnoliopsida; Poales; Poaceae.
UCUGCAUGGCUUGGGGUGUACCUUGGGCGACACUUUCUCAGUUGGAAUGUUUUUCCCAACAAAUAAAUUGCUGGUAAGAUGGUGUACAGCCAAAACAACAAUUCCCAACAAAUAAAUUGCUGGUAAGAUGGUGUACAGCCAAAACAACAAUUGGAUACUGCUCAUGUUCAAAUAUUACACAAUGCUCCAAUGUUCGCAAACAUUGAUAAUAUGUUCACAAACAUACAUAUAUAUUGAUCACAAGUUAAAAAACAAGACAACAUUGACAAAGCAAAGUUUGGCCAUCUUGACCACCAUCAAGAAACACAAGUCACAUAAAAGGACCACUAUGUGUUAUUCUAAAAGAAUUGAAACACGAAAUGGUCCAAAAAACUUAAAAGUCAAAUCCAUGGCCACAAGAUUUCUACUCCACAACACUUGAAGCGCCAAAUGGUCCAGAACGCACAUAAGAUUCAUGAUUACAAGUUGGCUAGUCCGAAAUACUACAAACGACCAAAUGCUACAUAAGACUACGAAGUCAUCACAUCCAUGCGCACUAGGUGGCUGAGUACCUAAAAAUAUUCCACAAGAUCUUAAUGAUAAGCGAAUAAUGAAACUAUGCUCACUUAGUAUCUGACAAAAGUGCAAAUAUCAUUUCGUACUAACACCUAAUUAAGACAUAGACAUGUAUCAAAUGUUUUACGCCAAAGUGGAUUCAUAAGAAAUAUUACCAAUAUCAAGGAAAAUUGUCAUAGGUAUCCUGAGGCUUUGGGUCAAAUUCUCAUACGUUCAAACUGAAUGUGACUGCCAACAUGUGAUGUGCUACUCACGUGUAGAUAUGAGAAAAUGCAUGGGUGUACCCCCAACAAUUUUGCACAUUUCAUAGUUUGAAAAUAAUUAUCAAAAAUAAUUGUGGUUGUAUGUUAUCUGAUGAAGUAGAACCAAAAUGUACAGCUUCAGACAAAAAAACUACAGUAUGGUGAUGUUCUGUAUAUGCCAUGUGAUCUUCAGUUUUGUAUACAUAUUGAUCUAUGCUAAUUCCUAAGGAAUGUAUGUGGGCAUCAAAUAACAUCAUGUGAUUUUUAUAUUUUCAAUUUUAAAACUGCAGUGUGCAUAUUUCCGAGACAAAAACAAAAAACUUAUUGUAUGCAAUAUGUUGUAGUACCUGCAUGUCCUUGCACAUCAGUUGCCUUCUUUUCAUCCUUGAUUUACAAAAAUAAUCGUUACUUUUUAAUAGGUCUUCUAAUAGACAAUUGAUGAAAUCCUUGUAUUCUACAUUCAAAUGAAACAUUAUAGAGGUUAAGUAUAAUAGAACUAUAAUGAAAUCAUAGCACACAAUCUUUAUUGCAAAAAAGGAAGUCCAAAAAAUGUCUACACAUGAAGCUCCAGCCAAACAUGGCUCACAAAUGAUGUUCAAGUAAUAUUAGGCCAUCACCAGAAUGAACAUGAACAUCUCAUAAAACCACCAUGUACCACCAUUAUUAAGAUUGAAGUACUGUCUUAUUCUUGAACCAGAUUGCCAUUAUUAAGAUUGAAGUCCUCGUCCUCCUACAGCUUACAGCCCUAAGUGGGAUAAUAGGCUAUAAUUAGUUAUAAAUCAGCUCAAACUUGCAACAAACUAGCCAUCUUUUCCAUUCUAAACAGGCAUCUUAGCGUGAAUACCUUUCUACAGUGAGUUACAUAUCUACUCAAACCUGCUACGAACUAGGUUGGAAUUUAAUGGGCUACAUGCCAGCUACAAAAAAUAAGUGGCACUCCAUAAUUAUUAUAAAUAACUCCAUAGACAUUAUCCAUCGCAAUAUUAGGUUAUUGGCGCAAACUAAAUGGCAGCUAGAAAAACGGAGGCAAAAAAUGCCUGCCCUGGAAGCACAAAAUAUGCUUCAGGACAAACACAAACUGCGAUAUCCACUUCUUGCUAGUCAGGAAGACAGCUCCAACACAGCGCCUUAGUCUACAUCAUUGAAAAUAUGGAUGCUCCAUGACCUUUCAUUGCAGAGAUCCUCUUUGUUGGCUCGUCCUUACUGCCGCAUUUUCUGCAAGGAUCAGAACCGUAAGUUAGUACAAGAUUCUUACAAGAACCCCUCUUCUUCUCUGUUUUUCUGCAAGGAUCGAGUAGCACGGAUACACAUGUCAAGACUAAUACAGUAGACAGUUUUGAGAAGUUCCAGUGAGGGUACUCUCAAAAAAAAGUAGGAUACUCGUGCAAGUUUGGGAGCUUGCCUACCCCUGGCCAUACAUCAUCAUCCCGACUGCCCGACAAUCUAGCAUUCAAAAACUAAGAUAGCCCAUCUACUUUCAAUACCUCCUACUAACGCCAAUUCAAUAACGAACAUAGUCCAUCUAUAUUCGAUACCUCCUACUAACGCCAAUCGAUAAGAUAAUUAGCAUGUGGCAACGUGUGUGGCUUUAAGGAACUCAGGGUCCCCGUACUAGAGUAAGGAUCCACGAAUGAGUUUAGAUGUGUCACGAAUAGAUCAAGGAAGGGGAAUAGUGCAGAAUCAGCCAUGAUCAGGUGCAAUAAUGCUAAUAGAAGCAGUUGGAAAUUUCAGUUGCUCGGCAAAACCCACUGAAAAACUAAGCACCAUAAGCCCAGACCAAGCUUCAGAAAUUCAAAAUUACCUCAACAAUAUUGUACAGAUAUAGGCCUAGAUUCUCCAAAUUCAGGGCCCUGCAUGCUCUCUAAUGUUCUUGCUUUUAUUUAUCUGAAAAUACUUGUGUAUACAACAUAAAAGUGAAGUACACACCUCAGAAAAAAAUACAAGACUCCAGACCAGAAGAAAGAGUAAACAUCAACAUAAAACUAAAGAGUAUAGGCAUAGUUGAACCAAAUUGGAGAAUAUAUCGAUGUACUGUCAGCAAGGUAACACAUUACAGCUAAAAAUAUGUAUCUCUUUGGAGGAAAAAGUAAUUAAACUAUGAAUAUCAGCUGCACAGCCUCUAUCAUUCAUGGUGUAUGGCCAAUACCUCUACGCCACACUAUAGAAGCUUACUUCCUAUUAUCUUUUAUGUAUAGAUCUGUGUAGAUAUCACCAAUUGUAGUAGCAAUAGAUGCUCUAUCCAGCAGCAAUGUGUAGAAAACUUCUGAUAAAUAAUGGUCAAUCCAUCAUCAAAAUAUGACUGGAUUGAAAAUCAGAGGAUUAUAAGACAAAGGAAAAAGAACAAUCAAGGGGGGUUACACCAAAUGCAAACCAAGAAAGAACGUUCUGUGCUCAGUUUCAAGUUAUCACAUAUCCCCUCGACUACAAUUAGAUGGGUAUCACUGUACCAGCCAAAGUGAGAAAAUAAGACAACACAUUAGUUGGAGGAAAAAGUAAUUAAACUAUGAAUAUCAGCUGCUCUCUCUACAGGAAAAUGAUGGCCAUAUCAUCACUAUAGCUGGUGACACGCAUCUGAUUAACUCAUGAUGCCGGUGCAGACCUAGAAUUCAGAAACUUGGAAUCUUAGAAUUAAGGAGCUAAAGCACCAUGUCCAUCUAACCAUCGAUCUGAGCAACGAAUUAAAAAAUAGAACAAAGCAAGGUAUGAUCUUUUUACUGCUCAGUGGUAUACGGAUCCAACUAGUAAUCUUCGUAAUACUACGCCAUAUUAUCAAACAAAAAGGGGCAGAUUAAGUGAGCAGGAACCAGGUCUUGCUUCAGAUCAACAUGUCCAAACCACUCCCGCAGCUACCAACGGUACAACUCUCAAGUUGCAGCAAACUAGCAAGUCGAUCUACUGACACAUGGUGGUACUCACGGCUGAAAGAACAACAGCAAAGAAACCAAAUUGGGN